RNAcentral lists this ribosomal RNA (484 nucleotides) under uncultured bacterium. RNAcentral describes it as "partial 16S ribosomal RNA". It matches the Rfam family "Bacterial small subunit ribosomal RNA", at positions 30 to 507 of the family's 1533-position model. The record is from RNAcentral.
AUUGAACGCUGGCGGCAGGCCUAACACAUGCAAGUCGAGCGGAUGAAGGGAGCUUGCUCCUGGAUUCAGCGGCGGACGGGUGGGUAAUGCCCAGGAAUCUGCCUGGUAGUGGGGGAUAACGUCCGGAAACGGGCGCUAAUACCGCACACGUCCUGAGGUAGAACGUGGGGGAUCUUCGGACCUCACGCUAUCAGAUGAGCCUAGGUCGGAUUAGCUAGUUGGUGGGGUAAAGGCCUACCAAGGCGACGAUCCGUAACUGGUCUGAGAGGAUGAUCAGUCACACUGGAACUGAGACACGGUCCAGACUCCUACGGGAGGCAGCAGUGGGGAAUAUUGGACAAUGGGCGAAAGCCUGAUCCAGCCAUGCCGCGUGUGUGAUGAAGGUCUUCGGAUUGUAAAGCACUUUAAGUUGGGAGGAAGGGCAGUAAGUUAAUACAUUGCUGUUUUGACGUUACCAACAGAGUAAGCACCGGCUAACUUCGUG